RNAcentral lists this ribosomal RNA (460 nucleotides) under uncultured bacterium. Its description in RNAcentral is "partial 16S ribosomal RNA". It matches the Rfam family "Bacterial small subunit ribosomal RNA", at positions 338 to 795 of the family's 1533-position model. The record is from RNAcentral.
CCUACGGGAGGCAGCAGUGAGGAAUAUUGGUCAAUGGACGAGAGUCUGAACCAGCCAAGUAGCGUGAAGGAUGACUGCCCUAUGGGUUGUAAACUUCUUUUAUAUGGGAAUAAAAUGUUCCACGUGUGGGAUUUUGUAUGUACCAUAUGAAUAAGGAUCGGCUAACACCGUGCCAGCAGCCGCGGUAAUACGGAGGAUCCGAGCGUUUUCCGGAUUUAUUGGGUUUAAAGGGAGCGUAGGUGGAUUGUUAAGUCAGUUGUGAAAGUUUGCGGCUCAACCGUAAAAUUGCAGUUGAAACUGGCAGUCUUGAGUACAGUAGAGGUGGGCGGAAUUCGUGGUGUAGCGGUGAAAUGCUUAGAUAUCACGAAGAACUCCGAUUGCGAAGGCAGUUCACUGGACUGCAACUGACACUGAGGCUCGAAAGUGUGGGUAUCAAACAGGAUUAGAUACCCCUGUAGUC